GGUCAAGCUACAAAGGGCAGAUGGUGGAUACCU
RNAcentral lists this ribosomal RNA (33 nucleotides) under Phormidium sp. CCMEE 327. RNAcentral's name for it is "partial 23S ribosomal RNA". The record is from RNAcentral. Lineage: Bacteria; Bacillati; Cyanobacteriota; Cyanophyceae; Oscillatoriales; Oscillatoriaceae.